AAAUAUCAACCUCCUUGGUUUCUUCUGGAGACCAAAGGAGGAUUGGACUUUGGAGGCCUUUGCUGGCAUCUUUCUCUUUUGAAGGCCAGCUCCUCUUGAAUGAAUUAGCAGGGUCCUCUUUGCCAACCCUUGACAUGUGAUAAUACGUUUCCGUGUCUUGGUUUCUGGCUCUGUUGCUUCUGGGACCUGCUUCCAACCGUCUCAACCUUGCAUCGAGACAAUGUUCGGGCACGUCUCCCUUCUUGGGAAACCUCCUCGACCCCACGAAC
RNAcentral lists this unclassified non-coding RNA (269 nucleotides) under uncultured Lactarius. RNAcentral's name for it is "sequence contains ITS2". The record is from RNAcentral. Lineage: Eukaryota; Fungi; Basidiomycota; Agaricomycetes; Russulales; Russulaceae.